Molecule: ribosomal RNA, 308 nt
Filed under: uncultured bacterium
Lineage: Bacteria
Description: bacterial SSU rRNA
Rfam family: Bacterial small subunit ribosomal RNA
Source: RNAcentral
GAUGAACGCUGGCGGCGUGCUUAACACAUGCAAGUCGAACGGAAAGGCCCCAGCUUGCUGGGGUGCUCGAGUGGCGAACGGGUGAGUAACACGUAAGUGAUCUGCCCUGCACUGGGGGAUAAGCUUGGGAAACUGGGUCUAAUACCCUAUAGGACCGCAUCGUGGUUGGUGUGGUGGAAAGGUUUUUCUGGUGUGGGAUGAGCUUGCGGCCUAUCAGCUUGUUGGUGGGGUAAUGGCCUACCAAGGCGGCGACGGGGUAGCCGGCCUGAGAGGGUGUGCGGCCACAUUGGGACUGAGAUACGGCCCAG